RNAcentral lists this ribosomal RNA (442 nucleotides) under uncultured bacterium. RNAcentral's name for it is "partial 16S ribosomal RNA". It matches the Rfam family "Bacterial small subunit ribosomal RNA", at positions 338 to 795 of the family's 1533-position model. The record is from RNAcentral.
CCUACGGGUGGCAGCAGUGAGGAAUAUUGGUCAAUGGGCGGAAGUCUGACCCAGCAAUGCCGCGUGAAGGAAGAAGGCUUUCUGGUUUUAAACUUCCUUUUACACGGAAGUGCAGAUGACGGUACCUGUCGAAUAAGCCACGGCUAACUACGUGCCAGCAGCUGCGGUAAUACGGAGGUGGCAAGUGUUGUCCGGAUUUACUGGGUGUAAAGGGCGUGUAGCGGGACUGACAAGUCAGAUGUGAAAUCCGGGGGCUCAACUCCCGAACUGCAUUUAAGACUGUUGGUCUAGAGAAUAGGUGCGGUAGGCGGAAUUUAUAGUGUAGCGGUGAAAUGCUUAGAGAUUAGGAGGAACACCAGUGGCGAAGGCAGCCUGCUAAUCGACAACUGACGGUGAGGCGCGAAAGCGUGGGGAGCAAACAGGAUUAGAUACCCGUGUAGUC